This 460-nucleotide ribosomal RNA is filed under the name uncultured bacterium. RNAcentral describes it as "partial 16S ribosomal RNA". It matches the Rfam family "Bacterial small subunit ribosomal RNA", at positions 338 to 795 of the family's 1533-position model. The record is from RNAcentral.
CCUACGGGUGGCAGCAGUGAGGAAUAUUGGUCAAUGGGCGCGAGCCUGAACCAGCCAAGUAGCGUGAAGGAUGACUGCCCUACGGGUUGUAAACUGCUUUUAUAAAGGGAUAAAGUGAGGCACGUGUGCCUUUUUGUAUGUACUUUAUGAAUAAGGAUCGGCUAACUCCGUGCCAGCAGCCGCGGUAAUACGGAGGGUCCGAGCGUUAUCCGGAUUUAUUGGGUUUAAAGGGAGCGUAGGUGGGUUGUUAAGUCAGUUGUGAAAGUUUGCGGCUCAACCGUAAAAUUGCAAUUGAUACUGGGAGUCUUGAGUACAGUUGAGGUAGGCGGAAUUCGUGGUGUAGCGGUGAAAUGCUUAGAUAUCACGAAGAACUCCGAUUGCGAAGGCAGCUUACUAAACUGCAACUGACACUGAUGCUCGAAAGUGCGGGUAUCAAACAGGAUUAGAUACCCUAGUAGUC